RNAcentral lists this unclassified non-coding RNA (257 nucleotides) under air metagenome. Its description in RNAcentral is "partial contains small subunit ribosomal RNA, internal transcribed spacer 1, and 5.8S ribosomal RNA". The stretch from base 1 to 46 matches the Rfam family "Eukaryotic small subunit ribosomal RNA", at positions 1786 to 1831 of the family's 1831-position model. The record is from RNAcentral.
AAGUCGUAACAAGGUUUCCGUAGGUGAACCUGCGGAAGGAUCAUUAACGAGUAAACAAGGGAGUUGUAGCUGGCCGCAAGGCAUGUGCACGCUCUCUACUCAAUCCAACCUUACACCUGUGCACCUAUUGUAGGUCGAGUGGCUGGACUUGUUCUGGCCGCUCUUCCUAUGUUUUACACAUACACUUGUAGUCUCAGAAUGUAAUCCGCGUAUAACGCAUUAUAAAACAACUUUCAACAACGGAUCUCUUGGCUCUC